UACGUAGGGUCCAAGCGUUAAUUGGAAUUACUGGGCGUAAAGCGUGCGCAGGCGGUUCGUUAAGUCAGCUGUGAAAGCCCCGGGCUCAACCUGGGAAUUGCGGUUGAAACUGGCGAACUAGAAUCUGGCAGAGGGGGGUGGAAUUCCACGUGUAGCAGUGAAAUGCGUAGAGAUGUGGAGGAACACCGAUGGCGAAGGCAGCCCCCUGGGCUGAGAUUGACGCUCAGGCACGAAAGCGUGGGGAGCAAACAGG
Molecule: ribosomal RNA, 253 nt
Filed under: uncultured bacterium
Lineage: Bacteria
Description: partial 16S ribosomal RNA
Rfam family: Bacterial small subunit ribosomal RNA
Source: RNAcentral